UGUAUGACUGAUUACUCCUGGUGGUUUAUGGGUCAUGAAAGUUGAAUUUGUGUCUGUAACUUUAAUGCCUUAUUCAA
Physeter macrocephalus (sperm whale) is the source of this 77-nucleotide small nucleolar RNA. The record is from Ensembl. Lineage: Eukaryota; Metazoa; Chordata; Mammalia; Artiodactyla; Physeteridae.